GUCCCCGUAGCUUACAAUCAAAGCAUGGCACUGAAGACGCCAAGACGGCCCUACACCCACCCAGGGACA
RNAcentral lists this transfer RNA (69 nucleotides) under Columba livia (rock pigeon). Its description in RNAcentral is "tRNA-Phe". Lineage: Eukaryota; Metazoa; Chordata; Aves; Columbiformes; Columbidae. The record is from RNAcentral.